UGGCUCUCGCAUCGAUGAAGAACGCAGCGAAAUGCGAUAAGUAAUGUGAAUUGCAGAAUUCAGUGAAUCAUCGAAUCUUUGAACGCAAAUUGCGCUCUUUGGUAUUCCGAAGAGCAUGCCUGUUUGAGUGUCAUAAAGUCUCCCUUAACCGAUUUUUCGAUUAAGGUGUUUGGGCGCUGCCAGUGGCUCGCCUUAAAUGCAUCAGUGGAACGCGUGAUAAGUCUUCGCAACCCCCACUUUAAAUCUUCUUUAGCUUUGACCUCAAAUCAGGUAGGACUACCCGCUGA
RNAcentral lists this unclassified non-coding RNA (287 nucleotides) under uncultured fungus. RNAcentral describes it as "partial contains 5.8S ribosomal RNA and internal transcribed spacer 2". The stretch from base 1 to 133 matches the Rfam family "5.8S ribosomal RNA", at positions 22 to 154 of the family's 154-position model. The record is from RNAcentral. Lineage: Eukaryota; Fungi.